AUGCAUUGGUCAGACUGUAGACAUGUACUCCUCGUACAUAUCUGCACUAGCACGCCUCUGUUUCAUCACAUCGCGCAGGUGCAGCCGCCGCCCGACGCUUCUAGGUUCCUUGUCGGCGCUGCGCCGUGGCCCUCCUCGCAUCUGGGUCUCCUCGGCUACGUGCCUCGGGUCUCCUCGGUUACGCGCUGCUCCGCGCAAGCACCCCUGCGGGCCCGACCUCCUCUGCCCUGGCUCGACGCACCCAUGCUGCCUCAUCGGCGUCGCUCUGGCCGAGCGCCUCCGCGCCUACGCGGCCAUCGUGCUGUCGCGUCCCGUCACGGCUUCCGGCGGCUCGCCUCAACAGACGGCCGGCUCCGUCCGCCUCCAGACGACCACCCCAGGCAGGCUGCGGGUAGCCAGCUCCUCCGCGCGCGCAGGGUCGACGCACCCCGCCUGCUGCCCUGCCUCGUCUCCCAUGCACGCGUGCCUGGCAGCCGAGGCCAUGGCCGCUGCACAACCAUGCCCGGCGCUGCGUCCCAUCGCCGUCCUCUACUCCGAGUGCUCCCAAGCGCCGCAUCCGGCCUCGCCUGGCCUCCGCCGACUCCACCGCCUCGGGCCGCCGGCUCCGACCCGAGUGCCCGCCUCGCCGGCAUCUCCACCCAAGCCGGACCUCCUUGCCGCACGCGCCGGCCUCGCGCGGCGCCAGGUUCCUGGUCACUUCGCCCCCGCUGCGCGCGGGCCUCCUUUGGCCCCGCACUCCGGCUGCGCAGUUCCCGGUCCCGGCCACCCCCGCGCUCAUCCGGCUUCUCGCACGCGCCCCCGGCCGCCUCGCGCCACGCCGGCUGUCACCACGGCCGCCUGCUCCGGCUGAUCCACCCGCGCCGUCUGCUCCGCUCCACCCACGCAGGCACCCGGUCGGCCUCUGCCGCGCCCUCCGCCUCCACCGGCUCCGGGUGGCCGGCUCGCCGCCACGCCUCCGCCAGCACUCGGCUCGCGCCAAGCGGCCCCCACUGUUCGCUGCUGCCGCCUUUUGCGGGCGGAAAGAACGAAAAGAAAGUGAGGAGUCCGGGAGAAAAGUCAAGAGCCCGGCUGGUAAAAAAAAGUAGGCCGAGAAAGAAGUGCCCGAGCGAAAAAAAAGAGGAGCUGUGUCCGAUUGCUCAAAGCCCUUUGAGAAAAAGAAAAGGGCCGACUGCCCGAGUUCCGGCUGAAAAAGAAGAAAAGAGUGAGAGAGAUGUGUGUUCGACUGCAUGCAACCGGCUGAAAUAUGCGUCCGACUGCUGA
RNAcentral lists this ribosomal RNA (1260 nucleotides) under Triticum aestivum (bread wheat). RNAcentral's name for it is "partial small subunit ribosomal RNA". Lineage: Eukaryota; Viridiplantae; Streptophyta; Magnoliopsida; Poales; Poaceae. The record is from RNAcentral.